This 1767-nucleotide long non-coding RNA is filed under the name Jatropha curcas. RNAcentral's name for it is "long non-coding RNA (JCUR_LNC000453)". The record is from RNAcentral. Lineage: Eukaryota; Viridiplantae; Streptophyta; Magnoliopsida; Malpighiales; Euphorbiaceae.
UUGCUUUUACCUCUCAAAUGAUUACUGCUUUUAGAACUACUAAAAGAAACGGAACCAAAAAUAUCCAUUGGCCGACGAAGCCGAAAAACAGUAAGGCAUCUCCCGCUGCUAGUAGACAUCAUCGAUUAUCUGCCUAUGCACAAAGCGAAAGAGAAGCAGUUUAUCUUCCUCUGCGUAAACAGUUUUCGGAAGGAAAUAGUUUUUGCUCUCGUUUAGACUAAUUUUUUCGAUUUCUUUUCUUCAAUGACGAAAAUUGGAUCGGGUCACCCACCGUGAAACCAGACCCGAAAUAUGAUUACUUCUUCAAAACCCAAAAUUGUUUGAAAAGAUAUUAUAAUUAUUAAUUGAUUAUAAUUAAUAUCUUUAUUGUUUGAAAAUAAAGGUGAGGAAGCAAAAAAAUAUUAUAUCUUUAUUGUUUGAAAAGAUUUAGAAAAAAUAAAUUAUAAUUAUUAAUUUACCAUUUUAACCUUCCAUACCCUUGAAGCGUUGAAAGAAAGAAUAUAAUAUUUUUUUUGCUUGAGAAUUAUAAUACACAAUUCAUACGUACAUAUAUAUAUAUAAGCAAAGCAAUGUAAAAGAAACUGUCAAAAAAGAAAAGAAAAGAUAAAGAAGGUAUACAAUUUAUUUCAUAUUUUACUGACUAAAAUUUAAUUAUUGGAUAAAAACAUACACGAUGACUUUUUACUUAUAAUUUUUUCAAUUUACAUUUGAAUAAUAUUUCUUUUAUUGAACUAAAAGGUAGAUUUAGGAUUUGUUUAACAUUACUAGAAUUUAAAAUGGUGAUUUUGUUUUUUGUUUUUUGAAAAAAAUGAGGAGAGAAAAGCAAAUAAUCAAUUUUGAAUUUUGAAUAUUUCUAAUACCUUUCUCUUUCAAAUACCCAACCCAAAAAUCAAGUUCUUGUAAAUUAAUCAAAAGCAAAUCAAAGAUCCAAAUCUAAAUUGAAAUCAAAACCAGGGAUAGAAAAGGGACUUGGAGAAGCAUUAGCAAAAAGAAUGGAACACAACCAUCAAAAUUUUCUCCAGAAGUUAUAGAUCUAAUUCCAUUAAGCAUCAUCUUCACUUUUUCCUUCACAUUAGCAAAAACAAAAAAUAAUUAUCCUCAAUUUUCCUUCCUCAGUAGCAAUAAACACAUUAUACUUCAGAAAAAUUCCAAACACCAUAUCCAAUAAAGACUUGCAAAAUACAAAUCAUUAGGCAUAACCCAUUGAAGUGAAGCAACCACCGAAAAAUCCCAGAUUUCUCCAAAUCUAAGAACAUGCAACAAGAAAUUAUUCGACUGGAUCACCUCAAAAGAUAGAGAACCACCAAGAAUGAUGAACCUACAUGCAAGAUCAAUGGCUAACAACUGGUAUUUGAGUACUUUGAGUGCUUGCCAUUUUAGCGUUCUUCUCUUGGGCUCCUUGAGUGCUUUGAUCACCAACCGCCGUCGAUUGCACCACCGUUACCUUGGCCUGACGAUUCUGCACCGUAAGCUUUACAGUAACGCAAAGUCCCUUGGCUGUCUCAUUUGGCAAUGUCUUCAAUGUUCGUUUUGGGGAAAGACCUAGGGCUCGAUUUUCGGAGCAAGAUUUUUUGGGGAAUUUCUGUAAUUUCACGUUGCACAGUGAAAUUUUCCCUCUUCAUUUGCUCAUUUUCUCUCUGAUUUGAGAGAAUCCAGUUAGGUGGACCCGGAAGGAAAAUAAAGACCAAAUUCCUUCCUUCGAAAUUUUCCCUCCUUUUCCAAACAGGAGAAAGUUAGUUUUCUUUGAUAGUUUCCAUCCACGUUUUC